This 460-nucleotide ribosomal RNA is filed under the name uncultured bacterium. Its description in RNAcentral is "partial 16S ribosomal RNA". It matches the Rfam family "Bacterial small subunit ribosomal RNA", at positions 338 to 795 of the family's 1533-position model. The record is from RNAcentral.
CCUACGGGGGACAGCAGUGAGGAAUAUUGGUCAAUGGACGGAAGUCUGAACCAGCCAUGCCGCGUGCAGGAAGACGGCUCUAUGAGUUGUAAACUGCUUUUGUACAAGGGUAAACCUGACUACGCGUAUUCCGCUGAAAGUAUUGUACGAAUAAGGAUCGGCUAACUCCGUGCCAGCAGCCGCGGUAAUACGGAGGAUCCAAGCGUUAUCCGGAUUUAGUGGGUUUAAAGGGUGCGUAGGCGGAUUGAUAAGUUAGAGGUGAAAUGUCCGAGCUUAACUCGGGAACUGCCUCUAAUACUGGUGAUCUAGAGAGUAGAUGCGGUAGGCGGAAUGUAUGGUGUAGCGGUGAAAUGCUUAGAGAUCAUACAGAACACCGAUUGCGAAGGCAGCUUACCAAUCUAUAUCUGACGUUGAGGCACGAAAGCGUGGGGAGCAAACAGGAUUAGAUACCCGAGUAGUC